GACGAACGCUGGCGGCGUGCCUAAUACAUGCAAGUAGAACGCUGAAGGAGGAGCUUGCUUCUCUGGAUGAGUUGCGAACGGGUGAGUAACGCGUAGGUAACCUGCCUGGUAGCGGGGGAUAACUAUUGGAAACGAUAGCUAAUACCGCAUAAGAGCAGAUGUUGCAUGACAUUUGCUUAAAAGGUGCAAUUGCAUCACUACCAGAUGGACCUGCGUUGUAUUAGCUAGUUGGUGGGGUAACGGCUCACCAAGGCGACGAUACAUAGCCGGCCGGAGAGGGGGAUCGGCCACACUGGGACUGAGACACGGCCCAGACUCCUACGGGAGGCAGCAGUAGGGAAUCUUCGGCAAUGGACGGAAGUCUGACCGAGCAACGCCGCGGGAGUGAAGAAGGUUUUCGGAUCGGAAAGCUCUGUUGUAAGAGAAGAACGAGUGUGAGAGUGGAAAGUUCACACUGUGACGGUAUCUUACCAGAAAGGGACGGCUAACUACGUG
This 495-nucleotide ribosomal RNA is filed under the name uncultured bacterium. RNAcentral's name for it is "partial 16S ribosomal RNA". It matches the Rfam family "Bacterial small subunit ribosomal RNA", at positions 28 to 507 of the family's 1533-position model. The record is from RNAcentral.